AAAUUAUUCGCUUGGAGCAGGGGUUGUCUUGAAAACAAGCCCAAAGCGUUCGAUUCGCUUAAUAAUUUA
RNAcentral lists this transfer RNA (69 nucleotides) under Solemya velum (Atlantic awning clam). Its description in RNAcentral is "tRNA-Ser". The record is from RNAcentral. Lineage: Eukaryota; Metazoa; Mollusca; Bivalvia; Solemyida; Solemyidae.